GUGACUGCCGCUGCAUUAAUUCAGACAUUUACCACCUCUCAGCUGCACUGAACAACAGCUGCCUGGCUGGUUCCUGUGCUGCCCUCCUCUUCCAAAUCUUUGGCCCUUUUUACCUUGAAUCGGAUGUGACUUUCCUCAGAACUCUGGAGCUUCCCGUUGCCUGCCAGGUAAUUAUUUAUAAUGUUGUUGAUUCAGAAUGAUCCUUUAAACUUUGCUUCUACGAAGGCACACUCAAAACUUUUCUGUCGAAUGGGCCAGUGAUGGUAAUCGCUCGACACAAGCAAGUCUAACGACACCUGCGUGUAAAGGCAAAAUCAUGGAUUCAUGUUCCCACAACUACAGGUGCUUCUGUGUCUUGGAACGUGCAUACAGAUUAACAGGCAGUGGAGUGCACCCCAACUUGAACAGAACCAUGCUGGGCCUGAAUGUCCCCUCCCAGCCCUUCCUGCUCCAAGAGGUGGCUGAGGUCCCCUCUUCUUUCACAGGAAGUGAUUCAGCACCUGGAGGUCUCCGCUUUGGGUCCAAGAGCACAGAGCACGGCUUCAGGGGGGUGGACGGACAGAGGCUGCGGCGAGCGGCAGAGAGCACAGCCCAGAGACUCAGCACCUCCUUCAGACAGAAAGAGGCCAGUUAGGGGCUGGCCGGUCAGCAAGGGAGCCAUGUACAAGAGGGGCUGAGAACUCCCCAUCCUCCCGUGGGGCCUGUGAGGCUGGAAGUACCUGGCAGUCACCUGGCAAGAUUCUGUUGAGUGCAGAACGACAAACAGAACACCUCUCUUUGCAGUCAACUCUCCAAAGGUUUUGGGUUAUGUCCACAGUUGAUCACUCUAUCUUUGUGCAGUGUGAGUGCUCUCCUAUUUUUUUUUUGUUUGUUUGUUUUUUUGUCCAGUCCAAAGACUUCUAUGUAGAAAGAGAAAAAUACCUUAGAUUAGCCUUUGGAUUUUAAGAAUAUUAGUGAUUAAAAGUAGAGCUCACAUUUCUUUAGGGCUAACUGGGAACAUCUCUGUGCAAAGCCCUUUACUUUGAAACUGUCAUAACUUUUAUUUUUAAAUUACAUCAUUUAAGUAUCACACCCACAGUCUGAGCUAGGUACUACUCUUGCCAUCUCCAGUUUACUGCUGGGAAUUUGAGGGCCCAAAGAAGCUCUGUACCAGGCACCAGGCCACGCAGUACGUGGCAGAGUUGGAUUUUGAAUCCAGGAUGGUCAGACCCUGAAGGCAAUGUGUGCAACCACUGUGCAAUCGGAGCGACCUUGGAUAUGUGGCAGAGUCGUACCUCAAUUUACAGAUGUGGUGAUAGGCGAGAGGAGGCAGGGCAAUUUUUAACCUAUGUAAUGUCCAUUCAUCCCUCCAAAGUGCCCCGAGAGGCAGGUUUUAGCGUCACACACAAGUUGCAGAUGGGGAAACUGCGAUGCAGAACAGAUCACCUGCCCAAGGACACAGGGCAGAUAAGCAGAAGUGUGGGGACUGAGUCACCUCUUCUGGAUCCGUUGCCCACACUCCUUCUACCACUCACGCUGCGGGGAUUGGCAGGGCACGACAGGCUUGGUCUACCCUAUCCCCCUGUCCCCCACCUCCGAAUCCCAAGCACCCUGUACAUGGUGGGCUCACAAUGAAUGUUUGCUGAAGAAAAGCCCCUCAGACCUGCCAUGCACAGCGGCAGCAUCAACCCUCCCAGCCCCCACACUCCACCAAAUGCAGCCUUUAGAAAUUCAAGCUCUCAUGCCAUCUCCCCAAGAAGGACCUUUGGUGGACGUGUCUCACCCGCGGACCCGCUCCUCUGAGUAUAGUUACCUUCUACACCCAGAUUCCAAGUCAGGGAUGGCACAAUAUUAGCUCCUGGCAAGGACCAAAGGCCACCCCAGCCAAAAGGUAGCGGGGGGCUCUGGGUGGUGAUUCAGGAAAUCUGUCUGGGUUAAACUCACCUAUUGACACAAGUAGAUCUGGUGUCAUCCCCAGCCUUAAUUUCCCCAUUUCCAGAUGGCAGACGUUGUCCUUUGGGUUCUCCUGAGGCCUGCAUGCCGCCCCCAGGACCCAAUGCCUGGGGUCAGGGAGAGGGGAGGCCCCUGAGUUGCACUGUCUAUAGAGACCCAUGGUGCAGGUUGUGUGUGUGGGGGGCAGUCCCCCCCUUCCCUCACUGCUCCAGGCUGCUGCCUGAUUGCCCCUGAAAAGAAGGCUUACUUCUGCCUGGAAAGCCCUGAGGCAGCGGAUUUCAGUGUGAGUAAGCGAUUCCAGGGGCAUUCAGGGGAAUGCGGUCUGGUCUGGAGUGCACAAAGCCGCCCCCAGUUAGAUUCAAAAGGAGGAGGAAGCCUGGGCUUUCUCAGAGGCCAGGCAUGCAGCCCCAAAAUUAAAUCCCUGCAAAGGAAUGUCUUCAUCUUUAUGGAUGCAGGAAGAGUCCAGUGUUUCAUAAAAGGAAUGAGGGACAGCAAAGCCAGCUUCAGGAAAUUCCCUUCAUCCUGGAUGGAGAUCUAAACCGCUCAGAUCCCAGGCCCCUCCUGCCUCCAGCCCUCACCCCAGGGCAACCUCUAGGUGAACUUGCUUGAUUUGAAGGCGGGUGCACAAGCCCCUCCCAUUUCUGCCACUGUGGAUACUCCAGGCUGGGACAGAACAGAGUAGGGUGCUGCGUUGGGGCUUUACCGCUCCUACAGUGCUUGCACAGUACUUUGCUUAAUUCAGUCUUUACGGAUGGGGAAACCAAAGCUCACAGAGGUCUCUGUCCUUGGCCUAGAUCACACAGCCAGGCCUCUGGUGAGAGAGGCCUCUGCAAGGCAGCCUCCCUUGCCGCCAGGGCCAUGCCCACCCCUAGACUGGGCACAGCAUCUAUUGCCACACACACCUCCCUCAAACAUAAGCUGGGUGUUUGUCUGCCAUAAAUAGGAGAAAGUGUGCUUCUGGAGGGCAGGGCCUCCAACUUUCAUGUAUUAGCUCUUAGCUCAAGGCCAACCACGGGGAAGGCUAAGCGUUAAUAUCACUGAAUGAAUCCUGUGCUUUCCUCGCCUCACAAGGCCAGGGAUCCUGAUAACCAGAAAAAGAAUCACAAUGACAGCAGACAAUGUUUGCAUCUUGCUUAUCAGCAUUUUGGAGCCAGAGGCACGUUUGAUUCCUGCAACAACCCCAAGCCCCAGUCAGUAUAUCUAUUAAGUGGCCAGAAGACCAGAGCUCACAUAAACCACAGGGCUUGCUUGGGCUCCUGGGUGAAAAAGGUGGAGCAAAACUGCUAUCCAGCUCCUCCAGUUCCAAAUCCUGAAUGAUCAUAUACAAUUAUUAUUUUUUUUGAAUGCCCUCACUCACAACAUAUAGAAGUACCCUGGCCAGGGACUGAAUCUGAGCUGCAGCUGCAACAUAUGCCACAGCUAUGGCAACACCAGAUCCUUUUAAUCCACUGUGCCAGGCUGGGGAUUGAACCCUUACCCUCCCAGAGACA
Molecule: non-coding RNA, 3422 nt
Organism: Sus scrofa (pig)
Lineage: Eukaryota; Metazoa; Chordata; Mammalia; Artiodactyla; Suidae
Source: RefSeq, a predicted model, not a curated record